Molecule: non-coding RNA, 642 nt
Organism: Doryrhamphus excisus (bluestripe pipefish)
Lineage: Eukaryota; Metazoa; Chordata; Actinopteri; Syngnathiformes; Syngnathidae
Source: RefSeq, a predicted model, not a curated record
UUAGCGAAGAUUCUCAAGUUAAUCAUAGCAUCCAGCAUAAAACAUCUCCAAUGUGCAUGUGUCAUGGAUUGGAAAAAUGAUGAGUCAGCACUAGGCUCCAAAGGGACGUUUGUGUAGUAGUGCUAAUCAACUAUACCGGACCCUUUUGCUUGAUUAAAAAUGCCUUAAAACAUGAAAAGUUCACCCGCUAGCUUUUUAACAAAGACAGAAGCUACAUGUGCAUUGCUUUUACUCCUUUCCUUCCUCGCUUAAGCAUUCACUGGGAUUUACUGUGUGGACGUGUUGAUUCCAGCACUCAAGGCAAAACAGGGUGCAGUAUGUGGAUGCAAACAGCAGAGGCGCUGUUGAGUCAACACUAGUUUGCUGUCUAAAGAGGUUGAAAAUUUAGUAGUAAUGUGAAUUCCAGUGUCUGAUACAUGGGGAGGUAGUUGAUAUGAGAUGGUUGUCCGAUACAUGGAAAAGCAGUUGAUAUGAGAUGGUUGUCCGAUACAUGGGGAUGUAUUUGAUAUGAGAUGGUUGUCCGAUACGUGGGGAGGCAGUUGAUAUGAGAUGGUUGUCCGAUACAUGGUAUAUACCAGGGGUGGGCAAACUACGGCCCGGGGGCCACAUCCGGCCCGCCAAGUGUUUAAAUAUGGCCCGCAC